AAGGGGAUGGGGUGCAAGUAAUCCAGGUCUCCUCUGCUCUGUCUCCUCAUCUGCAAAAUUAGGGAUCCUGAACUGAUUACCUCCAGGGCCUCUUCCCACUGUCUUUCUAGCCUUCUGGCACAUUCUGCACACACACAGAGGGGAUCCCCAGAGCUAAGUCUCUUGCCUCAUUUGUCUUCCUGCAAGUGCCUAUAGCUACAAGGGGACCCCCUUUCCCACUAUGGGCAGCCAGGUACUCUGCUGCAUGGCCCUUUGUGUUCUGGGAGCAGGCACAGUGGGUGGUGGAAUCACUCAGACCCCAAAAUACCUGUCCAGAAAGGAAGGUCAAGCUGUGACCCUGCAGUGUGAACAGGACUUAGGCCAUGACAGCAUGUACUGGUACCGACAGGACCCAGGACAGGGGCUGAGGCUGAUCUACUUCUCCAGAAUAGAAAAGAAUGUUGAGAAGGGAGACCUGGCUGAAGGCUACCAGGCCUCUCGGGAGGAGAAGGCAACCUUUCCUCUCACCAUGCCAUCGACCCGGAAGGACCAGACAGCUCUGUACCUCUGUGCUAGCAGCUUAGACACAGUGGAGCACAGCUACCUCCUGUCUGCACAUAAACAGGUCCCCAGUCUUGUGUGCCCACCAGCCAACCCCCCAAAGCAGCUGCUGCUGUAA
Molecule: non-coding RNA, 658 nt
Organism: Artibeus jamaicensis (Jamaican fruit-eating bat)
Lineage: Eukaryota; Metazoa; Chordata; Mammalia; Chiroptera; Phyllostomidae
Source: the annotation of a RefSeq genome assembly